AUGUCUCCUUCCUUCCUACAAAGUGGGUGCACACAGGGUGGCCACUCCGCCAACCGACUCCAGGAGCUCUGCUUUCGCAACGGCAACAUCUACAUCAAGCUCGGCCAACACAUCGCACAACUGGUUCAACACGACCACUUGGUGGAUACUUCCAUAAUAGAUAUCGCCACCGUGGAUUUAGUAGUGAAUGCUCUUCAUUAUAUUUUCCCUAAAUUUGACUACAGGGUAUUAUUUGAGCUGAUAUGGAGGGACUACUUCAGAUUUCAUCCACCAAAAUAUGGGAACUCCAUUUUCUUACUAGUGAAUUUUACCUACCUACACAAACAUGAUAUGACCUGCUAUUGCAUGUUCUCUAAGACGAAGGCUAAAACUACAGUGGCAGACAUGCUUCCAAGAUCUCGUGAAGAUCAUUCUGCUGAUGAUGGGAAUGGUCUGUAUGGUCCAUACAUGGUUAUUGCUCUUCCUUCCACCCUGUCAAACUGGUUGAACGACUCAAUGAGGAUUGCUCCUUCUCUAAAUGGUUUGAUUUAUCAUGGAGAUAAAGUGGCUCGGACAGAGCUAGCGAGAAACUACAUGCCCAAAACUGUUGGUCCUGGUUUUCUGAUAAUAAUCACUUCAUAUGAGAUGGCUAUGUUUGAUGCAAAGUUUCUUGCUAAUUAUAAGUGGAAGUCACAUGAUCUGAAUUAUUGCCCUUAUGGUACCUCGCAAAACACACUGUGGUGGUCACCCUCAGCUACGACGAUGUGCAUUCCUUGGCACCGGGAAUUGGGCUGGGACGUCGUGGAGAGGAGAGAAGGGGGCGGGCGACACAGUGGAGGGAAGGAGAGAUGGUGGUGA
RNAcentral lists this ribosomal RNA (837 nucleotides) under Triticum aestivum (bread wheat). RNAcentral's name for it is "partial small subunit ribosomal RNA". The record is from RNAcentral. Lineage: Eukaryota; Viridiplantae; Streptophyta; Magnoliopsida; Poales; Poaceae.